UCUCGAUGGUAGUGUAUUGGACUACCAUGGCAGUGACGGGUAACGGAGAAUUAGGGUUCGAUUCCGGAGAGGGAGCCUGAGAGACGGCUACCACAUCUAAGGAAGGCAGCAGGCGCGCAAAUUACCCAAUCCUAAUUCAGGGAGGUAGUGACAAGAAAUAACAACAACGGGCUUUGUCUCGUUGAUUGGAAUGAGCACAAUGUAAAAGUCUUAGCUARGACCCACUGGAGGGCAAGUCUGGUGCCAGCAGCCGCGGUAAUUCCARCUCCAGUAGCGUAUAUUAAAGUUGUUGCAGUUAAAAAGCUCGUAGUUGGACUUGCACUCCUUUUGGAGCAGCCUGGCAACUCUGCAUGUCCUURAUUGGAUGGYAGAGACCUGCGGGCCCUUUACCUUGAGAAAACUAGAGUGUUUAAGGCAGGCCACGCCUGAAUACUGCAGCUGGGAAUAAUGCAUCACGACUGUCUUGGCGAGGCAGCUCUACACUUUUAAUAGGAACGGUUGGGGGCAUUCGUACUCAGCAGUCAGAGGUGAAAUUCUUGGAUUUGCUGAAGACGGACUAGUGCGAAAGCAUUUGCCAAGGAUGUUUUCAUUAAUCAAGAACGAAAGUUAAGGGAUCAAAGACGAUCAGAUACCGUC
RNAcentral lists this ribosomal RNA (636 nucleotides) under uncultured ciliate. RNAcentral's name for it is "SSU rRNA". It matches the Rfam family "Eukaryotic small subunit ribosomal RNA", at positions 322 to 1030 of the family's 1831-position model. The record is from RNAcentral. Lineage: Eukaryota; Ciliophora.